AUACGGAGGGUGCAAACGUUAUUCGGAAUCACUGGGCGUAAAGGGUGCGUAGGCGGUUUGAUAAGUCUGAUGUGAAAUCCUAUGGCUCAACCAUAGAACUGCAUUGGAAACUGUCAGACUAGAAUACUGAAGGGGCAGAUGGAAUUAGUGGUGUAGGGGUAAAAUCCGUAGAUAUCACUAGGAAUACCGAAAGCGAAAGCGAUCUGCUGGGAAGUUAUUGACGCUGAGGCACGAAAGCUGGGGGAGCGAUCCGGAUUAGAUACCCGGGUAGUCC
Molecule: ribosomal RNA, 274 nt
Filed under: uncultured bacterium
Lineage: Bacteria
Description: partial 16S ribosomal RNA
Rfam family: Bacterial small subunit ribosomal RNA
Source: RNAcentral